Small nucleolar RNA from Gorilla gorilla gorilla (western lowland gorilla), 81 nucleotides. It matches the Rfam family "Small nucleolar RNA SNORA40". Rfam says of the family: The snoRNA ACA 40 belongs to the H/ACA family of snoRNAs and guides the pseudouridylation of 28S rRNA subunit at position U4565. NB This family has a high threshold value to exclude a large number of closely related sequences that do not appear to have conserved H and ACA boxes, and may be pseudogenes. The record is from Rfam. Lineage: Eukaryota; Metazoa; Chordata; Mammalia; Primates; Hominidae.
AUUUAAAAUUUUAAUAUGUACUUUUUGCAACCCAGAACUCAUUGUUCAGUAUGAGUUUUGAUACAUAUAAGAAGGGAUAUU